GAUGAACGCUGACAGAAUGCAUAACACAUGCAAGUCAACUUGAAUUUGGGUUUUUAACUUAGGUUUGGGUGGCGGACGGGUGAGUAACGCGUAAAGAACUUGCCUCACAGCUAGGGACAACAUUUGGAAACGAAUGCUAAUACCUAAUAUUAUGAUAAUAGGGCAUCCUAUAAUUAUGAAAGCUAUAAGCGCUGUGAGAGAGCUUUGCGUCCCAUUAGCUAGUUGGAGAGGUAACGGCUCACCAAGGCGAUGAUGGGUAGCCGGCCUGAGAGGGUGAUCGGCCACAAGGGGACUGAGACACGGCCCUUACUCCUACGGGAGGCAGCAGUGGGGAAUAUUGGACAAUGGACCGAGAGUCUGAUCCAGCAAUUCUGUGUGCACGAUGAAGUUUUUCGGAAUGUAAAGUGCUUUCAGUUGGGAAGAAACAAAUGACGGUACCAACAGAAGAAGUGACGGCUAAAUACGUG
RNAcentral lists this ribosomal RNA (467 nucleotides) under uncultured bacterium. RNAcentral's name for it is "partial 16S ribosomal RNA". It matches the Rfam family "Bacterial small subunit ribosomal RNA", at positions 28 to 507 of the family's 1533-position model. The record is from RNAcentral.